AGAGUGGAACCUGCGGCUUAAUUUGACUCAACACGGGAAAACUCACCAGGUCCGGAUACGCGUAUGAAAGACAAGCUGAAAGACUUUUCUCAAUGACGUAAGUGGUGGUGCAUGGUCGUUCUUAGUUCGUGGAUUGAUUUGUCUGGUUUAUUCCGAUAACGAGCGAGACCCCAACGUUCUUAAUAGGAGCGCCAGCCCGGCUCGACUGCUUCGGCGGACUUGCUAGCAGGUGUCUCUCUAGCUUCUUAGACGUAUCAGAGCCGAUAAGGUUCUUGAAAUGGGUUAAUAACAGGUCAGUCAUGCCCUUAGAUGUUCUGGGCCGCACGCGCGUUACAAUGGUAGCCAUCAAAAAGUGCCUGCAAAGGGUGUCUCCGUGGCCGAAAGGCUGCGGUAACCCAUAGUCGCUCCCUUGACUGGGCCAGACUAUUGCAAUUAUUGGUCUCAAACGAGGAAUUUUUAGUAUACGCAGGUCAUUAACCUGCGCGGAAUGCGUCCCUGCCCUUUGUACACACCGCCCGUCGCUGCUACCGAUUGGGUUUUGCGGUUACGAGUUCGGAGGACUUGCAUCUCUGCCUUCACGGGUGGGUUGCAGGACUGAAGUUCUAAUUACCGCACGGCCUAGAGGAAGCAGAAGUCGUAACAAGGUAAUCGUAGGUGAACCUGCAGAAGGAUC
RNAcentral lists this ribosomal RNA (673 nucleotides) under Hyperamoeba sp. COHH 84b. Its description in RNAcentral is "bacterial SSU rRNA". It matches the Rfam family "Eukaryotic small subunit ribosomal RNA", at positions 1173 to 1827 of the family's 1831-position model. Lineage: Eukaryota; Evosea; Eumycetozoa. The record is from RNAcentral.